This 412-nucleotide ribosomal RNA is filed under the name uncultured bacterium. RNAcentral's name for it is "bacterial SSU rRNA". It matches the Rfam family "Bacterial small subunit ribosomal RNA", at positions 30 to 439 of the family's 1533-position model. The record is from RNAcentral.
AUUGAACGCUGGCGGAAUGCUUUACACAUGCAAGUCGAACGGCAGCACGGGGGCAACCCUGGUGGCGAGUGGCGAACGGGUGAGUAACACAUCGGAACGUGCCCAGUCGUGGGGGAUAACGUAGCGAAAGCUACGCUAAUACCGCAUACGAACUCUGGUUGAAAGCGGGGGACCCGUAAGGGCCUCGCGCGAUUGGAGCGGCCGAUGGCAGAUUAGGUAGUUGGUGGGGUAAAGGCCUACCAAGCCGACGAUCUGUAGCUGGUCUGAGAGGACGACCAGCCACACUGGGACUGAGACACGGCCCAGACUCCUACGGGAGGCAGCAGUGGGGAAUUUUUGGACAAUGGGCGCAAGCCUGAUCCAGCCAUUCCGCGUGCAGGAUGAAGGCCCUCGGGUUGUAAACUGCUCUUGU